RNAcentral lists this unclassified non-coding RNA (333 nucleotides) under uncultured fungus. Its description in RNAcentral is "partial contains 5.8S ribosomal RNA, internal transcribed spacer 2, and large subunit ribosomal RNA". The record is from RNAcentral. Lineage: Eukaryota; Fungi.
AACGCACCUUGCACCCUAUGGUAUUCCGUAGGGUAUGCCCGUUUGAGUGUUAUUAAAUCAUCAAACUCAUCAUGUUUUUGUUAAUGUGCAUGAGGCUUGGUUUUGAGGGUUUUUGCCGGCUUUCAUUAGUCGGCUCCCUUUAAAUACAUUAGCGAGACUUUCCCUUUGCAUGACCGUGUCUCUGGCGUGAUAAUUAUCUGCGUCAAAGUCUGCGGACUCGUUGGGCUUGCUUCUAACCGUCUACUUUGCUAGACAACCAAAAUCGGCCGCAUAUAUGCGCCUUUUUUGAACUCUUUUAACCUCAAAUCGGGUAGGAUUACCCGCUGAACUUAA